UGUCACUAAGGCAAAAGGUGAAAGCGAGGCUGUCAAAGGCUUCGGCUCAAAGAGGGGUUCGCGUCCUAUCAGGUAGUUGGUGGGGUAAUGGCCUACCAAGCCAAUGACGGGUAGCUGGUCUUAGAGGAUGAUCAGCCACAGUGGGACUGAGACACGGCCCGCACCCCUACGGGGGGCAGCAGUGGGGAAUCGUGGGCAAUGGGCGCAAGCCUGACCCCGCAAUGCCGCGUGAGGGAAGAAGCCCUUCGGGGUGUAAACCUCUGUCAGAUGGGAAGAUGGGACUAGAGGCUAAUACCUCCUAGUCUUGACGGUACCAUCAGAGGAAGGGACGGCUAACUACGUGCCAGCAGCCGCGGUAAUACGUAGGUCCCGAGCGUUGCGCGAUGUUACUGGGCGUAAAGCGUCCGUAGCUGGUUUCGUAAGCGGAUUGUCAAAGCCCGAAGCUCAACUUCGGCAAGGCAUUCCGAACUGCGUUACUUGAGUCCUGUUCAGGUAGGCGGAAGUCCCGGUGUAGCGGUGAAAUGCGUAGAUAUCGGGAGGAACACCAGUGGCGAAGGCGGCCUACUGGGACGGUACUGACGGUCAUGGACGAAAGCUGGGGGAGCAAACCGGAUUAGAUACCCGGGUAGUCCCAGCCGUAAACGAUGGAUGUUAGGUGUAGUGAUAACUUCGCUGCACCCCAGCUAACGCGUUAAACAUCCCGCCUGGGGAGUACGGCGCAAGCCUGAAACUCAAAGGAAUUGGCGGGGGCCCGCACAACCGGUGGAGCGUCUGGUUUAAUUCGAUGCUAACCGAAAAACCUUACCAGGGUUUGAAAUGGUAGGAAAGGCUGUCGAAAGAUAGCCGUGUUUCCCUUUCGGGAGAAAUCCUACCACAGGUGGUGCAUGGCCGUCGUCAGCUCGUGUUGUGAGAUGUUGGGUUAAGUCCCGCAACGAGCGCAACCCUUGUCCUUAUUUGCUUCCUCGUAUGAGGUGCUCUAUAAGGAGACUGCCGGCGACAAGCCGGAGGAAGGAGGGGACGACGUCAGGUCAGUACGCCCUUUAUGCUCUGGGCUACACAGGCGCUACAGUGGCAAGGACAAUGAGUAGC
Molecule: ribosomal RNA, 1089 nt
Filed under: uncultured Hydrogenobaculum sp.
Lineage: Bacteria; Pseudomonadati; Aquificota; Aquificia; Aquificales; Aquificaceae
Description: bacterial SSU rRNA
Rfam family: Bacterial small subunit ribosomal RNA
Source: RNAcentral